CAGCAGCCGCGGUAAAACGGAGGGUGCAAGCGUUAAUCGGAAUUACUGGGCGUAAAGCGUGCGUAGGCGGCUUUUUAAGUCGGAUGUGAAAUCCCUGAGCUUAACUUAGGAAUUGCAUUCGAUACUGGGAAGCUAGAGUAUGGGAGAGGAUGGUAGAAUUCCAGGUGUAGCGGUGAAAUGCGUAGAGAUCUGGAGGAAUACCGAUGGCGAAGGCAGCCAUCUGGCCUAAUACUGACGCUGAGGUACGAAAGCAUGGGGAGCAAACAGGAUUAGAUACCCCCGUAGUCCCUGUCUCUUAUAC
RNAcentral lists this ribosomal RNA (301 nucleotides) under uncultured bacterium. Its description in RNAcentral is "partial 16S ribosomal RNA". It matches the Rfam family "Bacterial small subunit ribosomal RNA", at positions 509 to 807 of the family's 1533-position model. The record is from RNAcentral.